GGACGGUUACCACGGAGUGAUUCAUGACUGGGGUGAAGUCGUAACAAGGUAGCCGUAGGGGAACCUGCGGCUGGAUCACCUCCUUAAU
This 88-nucleotide ribosomal RNA is filed under the name Pseudomonas aeruginosa. RNAcentral's name for it is "partial 16S ribosomal RNA". It matches the Rfam family "Bacterial small subunit ribosomal RNA", at positions 1448 to 1533 of the family's 1533-position model. The record is from RNAcentral. Lineage: Bacteria; Pseudomonadati; Pseudomonadota; Gammaproteobacteria; Pseudomonadales; Pseudomonadaceae.